GAGAGAGAGAGAGAGACAGAGACAGAGAGAAAUAGAAACCUGCCUGCUUCUCAUUUGGUAGCAAUAGCAGGGAAUACAAAGAGAUACAGCAAAUCUGCAAUAAAAGCAAUGACAUUUUUUUCUUAUUCCUACAUUUUGUAUUUCAAUAUUUGAUAUACUGAAAGGGGUUCUUAAUGAUGAUCUCUCGAUUUAAGGAAACAUAGGUAAACUAGAAUUAAUUCUACAGGAAAGGAAAAGACUUGAAAAGAAGUGGGGAGAACAUAUUUUGUGUCCUGUCUGGAACACUAAAACAUAAAAGGCUUUUUUCACAGGCAGAGACAGCAAAGACGGAUGUCCUAAAUUAGUGCAGCUGUCCAAGGAAAAUCCAGAAUUACUCAAUGCAAGAAUUACUGGAUAUCUGUUUUUCUAAGAAAAGGAAAAAGAGCUGCAAGAGUUCAGUUGGUGGAUGUCUUUGACUUGUUCAGGAAAACAAUGAAGAAACUAAGAAGAUUGCAAAAGAAGGCAAUUAGUUGCUAGAGAGCUGCUCCAGCCCCGCAGACUCUACUGCUACUAUUACUGAGUACUUCAGGUAAAUACAGAAUGGACACUUGGUGAGGCAGCCGUUGGUAAUAGAAAGAGCACUGAUAUUUGGCAGCCCAG
RNAcentral lists this long non-coding RNA (639 nucleotides) under Phascolarctos cinereus (koala). RNAcentral describes it as "lncRNA (ENSPCIG00000002842.2)". Lineage: Eukaryota; Metazoa; Chordata; Mammalia; Diprotodontia; Phascolarctidae. The record is from RNAcentral.